AUACUCCAUUGGGGACGUUGCAAUUGAUAGACGUAUGUUGCGAUGAACCCUAGCACAACACAAAUGAGCGCCUGAUGCACGAACAACCAAAGCAUAAUUAAUGAAGGGAAAGAAUGAUCAAUUGCUACUCCCUCCGUUCUUUCUCGUUUGAUAGGCAUAUUUCCAAAUCUAAAAAUUUCUCUUUUGAUAGUCUUAUUUGAGUCCAACUAUCCAUCCACUUAAUAGUUAUCUCAGAUCCAAUGCGUGACUCUUCAUUCUUCCAAUCG
RNAcentral lists this long non-coding RNA (266 nucleotides) under Setaria viridis. RNAcentral's name for it is "long non-coding RNA (SVIR_LNC002611)". Lineage: Eukaryota; Viridiplantae; Streptophyta; Magnoliopsida; Poales; Poaceae. The record is from RNAcentral.